AGUAGUUUGACUCCGUGGCUCGAGGACGACGCUGGCGGCACGCUUAACAUAUGCAAGUCGAACGGAGAAUAUUUGGUUUACUAAGUAUUCUUAGUGGCGGACGGGUGAGUAACACGUGAGCAACCUGCCUUUGAGAGAGGGAUAGCUUCUGGAAACGGAUGGUAAUACCUCAUAACGUAGUUUUACCGCAUGAUGAGACUACCAAAGAUUUAUCACUCAAAGAUGGGCUCGCGUCUGAUUAGAUAGUUGGUGAGGUAACGGCUCACCAAGUCGACGAUCAGUAGCCGGACUGAGAGGUUGAACGGCCACAUUGGGACUGAGACACGGCCCAGACUCC
This 337-nucleotide ribosomal RNA is filed under the name Ruminococcus flavefaciens. RNAcentral describes it as "bacterial SSU rRNA". It matches the Rfam family "Bacterial small subunit ribosomal RNA", at positions 1 to 339 of the family's 1533-position model. The record is from RNAcentral. Lineage: Bacteria; Bacillati; Bacillota; Clostridia; Eubacteriales; Oscillospiraceae.